GAUGAAGAACGUAGCGAAAUGCGAUAAGUAAUGUGAAUUGCAGAAUUCCGUGAAUCAUCGAAUCUUUGAACGCACAUUGCGCCCUCUGGUAUUCCGGGGGGCAUGCCUGUCCGAGCGUCAUUUGCAACCCUCAAGCCCGGCUUGUGUGAUGGGUGCCGUCCCCUACGGGACGCGCCCCGAAGGCAAUGGCGGCGUCGCGGUUAUCCGAUCAGCCAAAGUGUAUGGGGCUUUGUCACUCACUUUACGGCCCGGACCGGCGCCAGUCCGAAUCAAUCUUUUUUCUAAAGUUGACCUCGGAUCAGGUAGGGAUACCCGCUGAACUUAAGCAUAUCAAAGCGGAGGA
This 343-nucleotide unclassified non-coding RNA is filed under the name soil metagenome. Its description in RNAcentral is "partial contains 5.8S ribosomal RNA, internal transcribed spacer 2, and large subunit ribosomal RNA". The stretch from base 1 to 120 matches the Rfam family "5.8S ribosomal RNA", at positions 35 to 154 of the family's 154-position model. The record is from RNAcentral.